RNAcentral lists this ribosomal RNA (484 nucleotides) under uncultured bacterium. RNAcentral's name for it is "partial 16S ribosomal RNA". It matches the Rfam family "Bacterial small subunit ribosomal RNA", at positions 28 to 523 of the family's 1533-position model. The record is from RNAcentral.
GACGAACGCUGGCGGCGUGCUUAACACAUGCAAGUCGAACGAUGAAGCCGGAGCUUGCUCUGGUGAAUUAGUGGCGAACGGGUGAGUAACACGUGAGUAACCUGCCCUUGACUCUGGGAUAACUGCUAGAAAUGGUAGCUAAUACCGGAUACGACCCUCGGAGGCAUCUCCAGGGGGUGGAAAGAAUUUCGGUCAAGGAUGGACUCGCGGCCUAUCAGCUAGUUGGUGAGGUAAUGGCUCACCAAGGCGACGACGGGUAGCCGGCCUGAGAGGGUGACGUGCCACACUGGGACGGAGACACGGCCCAGACUCCUACGGGAGGAAGCAGUGGGGAAUAGGGCACAAUGGGCGCAAGCCUGAUGCAGCAACGCCGCGUGAGGGAUGACGGCCUUCGGGUUGUAAACCUCUUUUAGUAGGGAAGAAGCGAAAGUGACGGUACCUGCAGAAAAAGCACCGGCUAACUACGUGCCAGCCGCCGCCGUAA